RNAcentral lists this unclassified non-coding RNA (169 nucleotides) under soil metagenome. RNAcentral's name for it is "partial contains 5.8S ribosomal RNA, internal transcribed spacer 2, and large subunit ribosomal RNA". The record is from RNAcentral.
AAGACUAUAGACCUGCGGAGUACCUGCGGAGGGAUCAUUAGUGAACGCCCUCACGGGCUUAUAACUAUUCCAAACCUCUGUGAACCGUGCCCUUCGGGGCUAUUUUACAAACAUGGUGUAAUGAACGUCAUAUAUCAUAACAAAACAAAACUUUCAACAAUGGAUCUCU